AUUGAACGCUGGCGGCAUGCUUUACACAUGCAAGUCGAACGGGCUGGGGGCAACUCCAGUCAGUGGCGAACGGGUGAGUAAUGCAUCGGAACGUGUCCCGUAGUGGGGGAUAACCCGGCGAAAGCCGGACUAAUACCGCAUACUGCUCUACGGAGGAAAGUGGGGGACCGCAAAGGCCUCACGCUAUGGGAGCGGCCGAUGUCCGAUUAGCUUGUUGGUGGGGUAAAGGCUCACCAAGCCAACGAUCUGUAGCUGGUCUGAGAGGACGACCAGCCACACUGGGACUGAGACACGGCCCAGACUCCUACGGGAGGCAGCAGUGGGGAAUUUUGGACAAUGGGCGAAAGCCUGAUCCAGCCAUUCCGCGUGCAGGAUGAAGGCCCUCGGGUUGUAAACUGCUUU
RNAcentral lists this ribosomal RNA (402 nucleotides) under uncultured bacterium. Its description in RNAcentral is "bacterial SSU rRNA". It matches the Rfam family "Bacterial small subunit ribosomal RNA", at positions 30 to 436 of the family's 1533-position model. The record is from RNAcentral.